RNAcentral lists this ribosomal RNA (179 nucleotides) under Alternaria sp. ALT-1. RNAcentral's name for it is "5.8S ribosomal RNA". The stretch from base 53 to 179 matches the Rfam family "5.8S ribosomal RNA", at positions 1 to 127 of the family's 154-position model. Rfam says of the family: 5.8S ribosomal RNA (5.8S rRNA) is a component of the large subunit of the eukaryotic ribosome. It is transcribed by RNA polymerase I as part of the 45S precursor that also contains 18S and 28S rRNA. RNAcentral also lists the same sequence under 10 other names. Lineage: Eukaryota; Fungi; Ascomycota; Dothideomycetes; Pleosporales; Pleosporaceae. The record is from RNAcentral.
AACAUAAACCUUUUGUAAUUGCAAUCAGCGUCAGUAACAAAUUAAUAAUUACAACUUUCAACAACGGAUCUCUUGGUUCUGGCAUCGAUGAAGAACGCAGCGAAAUGCGAUAAGUAGUGUGAAUUGCAGAAUUCAGUGAAUCAUCGAAUCUUUGAACGCACAUUGCGCCCUUUGGUAUU